RNAcentral lists this unclassified non-coding RNA (244 nucleotides) under uncultured fungus. RNAcentral's name for it is "partial contains 5.8S ribosomal RNA, internal transcribed spacer 2, and large subunit ribosomal RNA". The stretch from base 1 to 52 matches the Rfam family "5.8S ribosomal RNA", at positions 103 to 154 of the family's 154-position model. Lineage: Eukaryota; Fungi. The record is from RNAcentral.
AACGCACCUUGCGCCCUCGGGUAUUCCUGAGGGCAUGCCUGUUUGAGUGUCGUGUUACCCCUUCUCAUUUUUUGUUUAACAAAAGAUGGAUCAUGGCGUGGUUCGCUGGACAUCUGUCCAGCGUGCGCCGAAAUUGGGCGAUGAAUGCGCUCCGAAAUGUUGUAAUUCCCUCGUUUCGGCGGUUAGCUUUAAUAACACAUGACUUUAUGACCUCAGAUCAGGUAGGACUACCCGCUGAACUUAA